AUCGCUUCUCGGCACUAUGUGCUAAGAUCAAAAGUGUAGUAUCUGUUCUUAUCAGCUUAAUAUCUGAUACAACCCCCAUAGGGGGUUCCAGAUUUAUUAAGUGAUUUUUGGUAUAAGGCAGGUAUGCAGAGCUUGCUCCGCUCCUGCCACUGGUCGUCCUGGCACUGCACUACAGCUAGGCGCGGCCUCACUGAA
This is a small nuclear RNA of Odontomachus brunneus, 195 nucleotides long. RefSeq annotates it as U2 spliceosomal RNA. The record is from RefSeq and is a predicted model, not a curated record. The transcript has a single exon. NCBI's taxonomy places the organism in Eukaryota, Metazoa, Arthropoda, Insecta, Hymenoptera, Formicidae.